GGAUGAUAUCAGCUGGUCUUAUCGGUCAUGGCAGAUACCAUCGCCAAGACAGCUUGCUACCAAAUUUAAUGUCAAAAUGUAUUAUUGCGAUUGAAAUCACCGAACAAAAGGAACACCUUGUGAUUACACCAUGUUCUCCACAUUUGUUCGCUCUACACUGUUUUUUUUUUUCAAUAACCAAGGAGUAAAUACUAAACCAUGUCAAAUCAAACGGAAGAUUGCUUGCCCUGCCGAUUAAUAAGUGGAUUUGGCGUAAUGGGCAUGGGGGCGUAUAUAUUUCAUCAAGCUGGGCGACGUAAACCCAUGGAAAGAAAUAUCAUGAAAAUCAUAUCCAUAAGUGCUGUCAUGCUGGGUGCUGCUCGGUUAUUAAACAUGGAGUUUUUAAAAUCAACAAAAAGUGACCAGUCAUAAUUCCAGUUUGCUACAAAACUAAUUUGUAAACACAUAUAUUUGUAAAUAUUAUUAAAUAAGAAGCUACUAUAAAAAAACGGAUUCUUAACAUUAA
Musca domestica (house fly) is the source of this 505-nucleotide RNA transcript. RefSeq lists it as uncharacterized. The record is from RefSeq and is a predicted model, not a curated record. NCBI's taxonomy places the organism in Eukaryota, Metazoa, Arthropoda, Insecta, Diptera, Muscidae. The transcript is spliced from 3 exons.